RNAcentral lists this ribosomal RNA (484 nucleotides) under uncultured bacterium. RNAcentral's name for it is "partial 16S ribosomal RNA". It matches the Rfam family "Bacterial small subunit ribosomal RNA", at positions 29 to 507 of the family's 1533-position model. The record is from RNAcentral.
AUUGAACGCUGGCGGCAUGCUUUACACAUGCAAGUCGAACGGCAGCGCGGGCUUCGGCCUGGCGGCGAGUGGCGAACGGGUGAGUAAUGCAUCGGAACGUGCCCAGUAGUGGGGGAUAGCCCGGCGAAAGCCGGAUUAAUACCGCAUACGACCUGAGGGUGAAAGCGGGGGACCGAAAGGCCUCGCGCUAUUGGAGCGGCCGAUGUCGGAUUAGCUAGGUGGUGGGGUAAAGGCUUACCAAGGCGACGAUCCGUAGCUGGUCUGAGAGGACGACCAGCCACACUGGGACUGAGACACGGCCCAGACUCCUACGGGAGGCAGCAGUGGGGAAUUUUGGACAAUGGGGGCAACCCUGAUCCAGCCAUGCCGCGUGAGGGAAGAAGGCCUUCGGGUUGUAAACCGCUUUUGUUCGGGAAGAAAUCCUCUGGGCUAAUACCCCGGGGGGAUGACGGUACCGGAAGAAUAAGCACCGGCUAACUACGUG